UACGUAGGGGGCAAGCGUUAUCUGGAUUCAUUGGGCGUAAAGCGCGCGUAGGCGGCUUGUUAAGUCAGAUGUGAGAACCGGGGGCUCAACCCGCGGCCUGCAUCAAAAACUGGCAGGCUUGAGUCUGGUAGAGGAAAGUGGAAUUCCUGGUGUAGCGGUGAAAUGCGCAGAUAUCAGGAGGAACACCAGUGGCGAAGGCGGCUUUCUGGGCCACGACUGACGCAGAGGCGCGAAAGCUAGGGGAGCGAAC
Molecule: ribosomal RNA, 250 nt
Filed under: uncultured bacterium
Lineage: Bacteria
Also listed under: 1 other name
Description: partial 16S ribosomal RNA
Rfam family: Bacterial small subunit ribosomal RNA
Source: RNAcentral